GAUGAACGCUGGCGGCGUGCCUAAUACAUGCAAGUCGAGCGAACGGACGAGAAGCUUGCUUCUCUGAUGUUAGCGGCGGACGGGUGAGUAACACGUGGAUAACCUACCUAUAAGACUGGGAUAACUUCGGGAAACCGGAGCUAAUACCGGAUAAUAUUUUGAACCGCAUGGUUCAAAAGUGAAAGACGGUCUUGCUGUCACUUAAAGAUGGAUCCGCGCUGCAUUAGCUAGUUGGUAAGGUAACGGCUUACCAAGGCAACGAUGCAUAGCCGACCUGAGAGGGUGAUCGGCCACACUGGAACUGAGACACGGUCCAGACUCCUACGGGAGGCAGCAGUAGGGAAUCUUCCGCAAUGGGCGAAAGCCUGACGGAGCAACGCCGCGUGAGUGAUGAAGGUCUUCGGAUCGUAAAGCUCUGUUAUUAGGGAAGAACAUAUGUGUAAGUAACUGUGCACAUCUUGACGGUACCUAAUCAGAAAGCCACGGCUAACUACGUG
Molecule: ribosomal RNA, 497 nt
Filed under: uncultured bacterium
Lineage: Bacteria
Description: partial 16S ribosomal RNA
Rfam family: Bacterial small subunit ribosomal RNA
Source: RNAcentral